Nomia melanderi (Alkali bee) is the source of this 1595-nucleotide long non-coding RNA. RefSeq lists it as uncharacterized. The record is from RefSeq and is a predicted model, not a curated record. Lineage: Eukaryota; Metazoa; Arthropoda; Insecta; Hymenoptera; Halictidae.
AUUACAUUCACGUGUCGAUUACUAUUCGCGAUCGAGGUUCGUUCCAUUCGCUGGCGGACUAAGUAACUUGUCGUCAUGUUUCUUUAAAGCAUGACAAAUAAGUUCGCGCUCGGUGUACCGAAGUUGAAUGUCGGCGACGCGUGAAAUGCCUUUUCAACGGCUACCGUCGUAAAGAUCUGCGGACAUACGUUUGUUUGUUGGAACCGUGCGAACGUAACGGUGUUCAAGAAUAUUCCCGGUUGUCUGCGUCGAUUUCACAACGACGUUUCUGUCUUUCAGUUUCUCUUAUCAGAUUUUAAUUAAAUUUAACUAAUCGAAGUAAUGUUGAUCGUGUACGAUCUGUGAAUAUUUGUUCCGUCAUGUGCGAUAUCUUAAUACUUCAACUGAAUUGAUCGCAGGAAAUUAAUUUGUUCACGUGAAACUUUAAACAACCGUGCACGUUUUUAACGGCCGACUAAAAUGUGCAGCUAAAGUGCAAGUGUAACGUUAGAUAGCUCAUCAAGAGCAAACCCGUAUUUGCAUGUUUGUUUGGAGCAUUCGCUGUACUAAAUUCUUGAAUUAGAACAGUUUGCACACGCCUCACAUGAUCUUUGAACCAUCAUAGAAUCGCUGAUAAGAUAAUGAGGAAACUGGAUGUAGCUCGUAACACAUUAGAAUGAAAUUAUUGAAAGAAACAGCUGAAAUUCGAAGUGUCGUGUCACUGUGGGAAUAUUAUACAUAUAAAAUAUAUCGCUCAAAAAAGAAAUUACAAAUAUAACUUGGAACAUUUUCGAUUUAUCAAAUGUAUAUGAGAAAUGCGAAUAAAAACAUUUUUCAUAGAAAACACCACCGAUAUUAUUAAAUUAAUCGAACGGAAAAUUAGUAUUCGUUUUGUCGAGUCACAAUCACUCGCGAAUCGGGAACCCAACACACAAAACAAGAAUCGUUCGAGAAAAAUGGGAAAUCAAUAUUUCGACACGAACACGAUUUAACACUAACUAUACCGGCACUUUUCCUACCAAACAGAAACAAAAGGAAAAUUAAAUAAACUAAAGAAAACGCAGAAUUUGAAAUCCGGUGAUUUGACAGGUUCCCGGUACAGUUAGUGUUAACACUAUUUUUACCGAAGAUGUCGAAUGGCACCAUCUGGAACGUUAUCUUAAAAUUAUUUUCCGAGUGUAGUCGUACAUUCUGAAUUGACUUUUCGGCUUUUCCAAUAACGGUUAUAAAAUGAACUACAGGAAAUGUCUAAAAUUCAAUCGAGGACAAAUUAUUAAAUUGAGAAAAUAAUUUGAAGUGAAAACUUCAGAAGGUGUCUUUUGACAGCCUCGGUAGGAAUAGUGUUAAAGACGGCAAGCGGUUUCGACGCAGUGGGUACAUCAUAAUACAUUCACCAUAUGACGACUGUACAGCUUAGCAGCACUUUCAAUACUGUUCAUAAAAAUACAUCGCAUAUAAACGAGCAAUCGGUUUAUACGCAAGGUCGGCCCGGGACUUGCGACCAGAUAGAGCGUUUCCCCGAUCUUUCAUCUUUCUCCGGGCCCCACGGCCGCGGAACGCGGGCUAUAUGUACAAAAAAGAUUUCGGCUCGAGUCGCAGGUCGGGCCAAACGAAGA